Molecule: transfer RNA, 76 nt
Filed under: Guillardia theta
Lineage: Eukaryota; Cryptophyceae; Pyrenomonadales; Geminigeraceae
Description: partial transfer RNA-Cys (GCA)
Rfam family: tRNA
About the family: Transfer RNA (tRNA) molecules are approximately 80 nucleotides in length. Their secondary structure includes four short double-helical elements and three loops (D, anti-codon, and T loops).
Source: RNAcentral
GAGUGUGUAGCUCAGUGGUAGAGCGUUUGACUGCAGAUCAAAUGGUCGGGAGUUCGAAUAAUACUCUCCACACUCU